Alligator mississippiensis (American alligator) is the source of this 4232-nucleotide RNA transcript. It is a transcript of the gene named NALCN channel auxiliary factor 1, with no coding region annotated. NCBI's taxonomy places the organism in Eukaryota, Metazoa, Chordata, Crocodylia, Alligatoridae. The record is from RefSeq and is a predicted model, not a curated record. The transcript is spliced from 2 exons.
UCUACAAAGCCUGGCUCUGUUCCCAGUAUUUUGAAGUCACACAGUUUCACUGCAGCAACAGAAUUCCUUGCAAGCAAUACUGUUUGGAGGUUCAGACAAGGUGUCCAUUUAUAUUACCAGACAAUGAUGAUGUCAUCUAUGGAGGACUAUCAAGUUUCAUCUGUACAGGGCUCUAUGAAAACAAUCCAACCAAUGCAGAACCAGAAUGCUGUGAUGUCAGAUGGGGACUAUUAUCAGAUCACCAAUCCAAAGGGACUAUAAAAUCAAGUGACUCAACGAUGUGUCACAGGACAUCACUCACAGUUUCAUCAGCAUCAAGACUGUGUAAUAGCAGACUUAAACUGUGUGUUCUUGUAUUAAUUCUCUUACAUACAGUACUUACAGUCUCAGCAGCACAGAACUCAACAGGACUGGGCUUUGGAGGCAUAACAACUAUGGACGAUAAUUCAACUAAUGAAGAAUAAAAGAAAGGAUUCAUAAAAUGUGAUAGACAUACAAGAGGCCCAAAUGUACUACAGUCAAAUAUAACAGAGACUGGGUGCUUUUACCCUCAGAUCACUUCUUGAAAGGCCUUCUGGGUAAAAUUAAAAGGAUGGGCCACAAUCCAAACAAAGACACAUGAACACAGCUUUUUAUUGACUAAAAGGCUGUAUGGUGACUUAAAUUUCUCACACCAUUUUAUACACUGUGUUUUAAUGUUUGGAGUUUCCUUUUUGUUUGUUUUUGCACUUGUUAAUACAGGAUUUUAUUUUUGGGAUGGUUUCUCAAAGCUAAACUAAGUCUUUUCACUGUCGAUAUAUUUCUAGUCACUGUGUGUGUUCAUCUGAUAGUUCUGUCUUUUAUGUCCUGUCAGUUUCUACUAGAGGAAUGACUGCUAUGAUUCCAUGCCAUAGCUAAAAAACUACAAACCGCCCCCCCCCCCAAAAAAACCAACAAAAAACCACAAAAAAAUAAUACCUAACUGUCCCUUUACCCAUGGAAACCAUUCUUCUUCUCCUCCCUUUCCCAUCUCCUGUUAGCAGACAACAUCCACUUGCUUCUGUCUGUGUAAUCACAAUGAAUGGGUACACAUAAUUCCAGUGUACCUCUGCCACUGUUGCACAAACCAGCUGACUGAGCAAAUCCAAAGGGAGCAUGAUGGGGGUUCCUUUUAGCUGAACAAACAAGUGCUCUCUUAUAAGGUGGGAUCAGACAGUUAACAAAUUUUUAUGUAAAGAUAUAUAUAACAAACUGUUAUUCCAAAUCCCAUUUUCAAAAAGUCCAGUCCUUUCUCGCUGGUCAGUUGAACAGGAGCAGCCUUUUCAGAUGCAGUAUGUGAAACUAGUUAAGCUCAGCGAGUUAAUAGUCAGGAAACCUUCACAUUGGAGGUUAAAGAUUGGCAUUCAUUGUGAAUUACGUUUUGAGUUCCACUGAAGUCACGUAACCAGCAAAUAUCCACAACAUAUGGGAACAAAAGUUUUCAGGAAAAAAAAAAUCUUUUUUGUUCUAAUGAAGCUACAGUAGAAGCACCUGACCACCAACAAUACAAAAUGCGUGUACAAUUUUGAAUCUAUUGUUUUUCUAAUAGCUAUAUGCUGUUGAAAGCUAUUCCAGUUAUUAAGGGUACAGUGUGUUAUGUUAGCACAGCUAAAGAAUCUGCUUUUUUAAUAAAGAAAUCAAGCAUUUUCAUAAAUGUGCAAUAAAACAGCAAAGAAUAUACUAGGAUAUUGGUAGUCAAGGAAAAGGAUUGUAAUCUGAUUGCCUUUUUUUUUUUUUCUUUUUUUGUGUGGGAACAUUUCACCUGCUGAGUGUAUGAGAAUUUGCUUUUUAAAAAGGCUUUUUAGAGUUUACAGUAGAAUCAAUGGAAGGAAAAGUUAAUAAGGGCUGUUUUUAAAAACUUUACAUUCCUUCCUAUUCUCUAACUACACUUGGAAAGUGCACUUUAGAGAUGUUUGCUGUGUAGCUGGGAGAUGAAGGAAAACUAUAGGAAAUGUUCUCUUAGCAAAUACAAUUUAGUUAUAACUUUCUAGCUAUGAAAUACCCCUUGAUAAAUAUUUCUGUUAUAAGAGUAUUUAAUCACUGGUGCAUAAGUAUGUGUUUUUAUUCACAUUUUACAGUCUGUAAAAUACUGAAGAAAAAAAAUCUUACUGCUUAAGCAGUUCAAACUGCAUUUGUUAAGAUAUAAAAGCUCAAAUAUUUUGCAAAAACAUUUGUUUUGAUAGUGUUUUACUAUGACUGGGACUAAGGAUCCUAAGAUGAUCUGUGCAAAUACAAAAAAAGCACCAAAAUGCGAAAUUUUUCAGCUCUGGUUUGUUUCCAUAACUCUCCACCUUUCCCUUUCCCCAACAUAAGAUAUUCUGUUCAAUAAAACAUGGUGCUUUUUUUUCUGUUAGAGGCACAUGUGUUAAUUACAUUGAACUGAUGCAAACUGUGGAAAAAUGUAGAAAUGUAAAUGAAAAAGCCUUAAUUAAUGGUAGAAUGUAGAUUUAAAAAAGGAUGGGAUUAUUAUUGAAGUAGUGGAGCAAUAACUGGGCAUUGUUGUGGUAUUGAAUGAUAGAUUAUAAAUCACACUACUGAGAAAGCGCCUACUAGGUGAGCUCUUGUUCAACUGACCUCUUAAUUAUAUUAAGUGUAUAUGGUCAGUAAACAGUUUGUUAUAACCUUUAUCUACCUCUGCUGUGCAAAGGCCAUUCAACAUCCAUUUCUGUGAUGUUAUUCAUUUAUUUUUGUUCUCACUGUUACCCAUAGUCAUCUAUUUUUACACUGCAUCAAUAUAGUAGCAAGUCCUAUUCAUCCCAGUUAAACUGGCAUAUGAAGAAGAGUUACCAUUUCUGUUCACUCUACCCUAUUUUGCCUCAUGGUGACACUUAGUGUGGAGAAUGAUCUUUAAGGAAUAUUGUUUUCUCUCUCACCAUGUCUCUCUUCUGCCUUCUCUCUUUCUCUUAUUCUCUCACCACUUCUUCUUGACCCCAAUCCUUUUGCUUUUCUUUAAAGGUGUUUUCAAAUGGUGUCAGUGAAAAACAUGACUUAUCCACUGCUUAACUACACUCAGUAACAUGUCAUACUAUAUGGGAGAAAUACAGCUGAGGAAAUAACAGUGGUAACAUCAUCAAAUGCAUAAAAUAGCCAAAUUAAAGUUGGACAAAAUGAAGCAGGAAGCAAUUACAAAAUCUUAAUUAUUAAGUAUAAAAUGUAAUAAAAUACUCCCCCUACCCUCACCCUGAGUCAGUGCCUGCAGUUAAAUGGUCUGUGAAUUCUCUGACAUACUUUUGGUAUAUUUCCUUCAUAUAAGGAAAAAAAAAAUCAUGUUCCUGGGAUUACUACUGCUAUGAUAUUUGUUACCAUUCCAACCAGAUACAUCAGCCCCAGGAGUGUGGUAUGCAGCUUCUUUUGGGGGCAGCUAGGAAAUCACAAGUAGACAAAGACUCUUUUAUGAAGUUAAAUAACACAUAAUCAUGUAUGAUGCAAAGACUCAUUUCAUCCAUUCCUCAUUCGUAAUAGUUUUCCUGGCACAAACUUAAGCAUGCUUGAUAUUGUGCGCAUAUUACUUUUUUGCCAAAAUAAAUUUGCAUUUUGCCACUGCUGUAACUGCCAUCUUGUUCCAUUUCUCCUUGUACUGUAUGCAUAUUACAUACAUGAUGAAGAACUGGCUUAAACACAGAUAAUACUAAAAUAUUUCUGCAAGCAAGUGACAAAAAAAGAGGAAAAAAAAUAUUUAUUUUACAGUCAUAUGAAAUAUCUCCCAUGUCUUUUACUGUCUUAUUUUCCACAGUAGGGAAAACCCAGAGUUUGUGCAAUAUGUUAAUACUGCUACGCCAAAUGUCAUAUAACAUAAACACAGCUAUAUGUUAUUCCGUAUUGCAUUUACAUUUGGGAAACAUUAUACUGACUUUUUUCUUUCAUUAAAGAGACAGUAUCCAUUUUUUGAAAACACAGUAAGUGAAGGCUGUCCUUCUGCACGCCAUAAUUUAAACACAAAAACUAAUGUAGAAUAAAGGUUUAGCUGCAUAAUUGAUGAAAUCGAGCCAUCAGCUGCCAAUGAGUCUGCAGAACAAUAAAGAUGCACCAAAAAGGGAUUUUCAGGAAAUUCUGUCUUGAGUUGUUAAAAAGAAUGCUUUUCUUCUAAGCAUAGGGAUAAAAAAAGAGGAAUAAGAGCUGUAUACCAAAUAGCAGAGAUGGCAGGUUCCAUUUGGUAUGUCAUGUGGUUCUUGGUCUAUAUCAUUAUAUUCUUUUAUUAAAAAGUGGAGGGACAA